GAUGAACGCUGGCGGCGUGCCUAAUACAUGCAAGUCGAGCGAACGGACGAGAAGCUUGCUUUUCUGAUGUUAGCGGCGGACGGGUGAGUAACACGUGGAUAACCUACCUAUAAGACUGGGAUAACUUCGGGAAACCGGAGCUAAUACCGGAUAAUAUUUUGAACCGCAUGGUUCAAAAGUGAAAGACGGUCUUGCUGUCACUUAUAGAUGGAUCCGCGCUGCAUUAGCUAGUUGGUAAGGUAACGGCUUACCAAGGCAACGAUGCAUAGCCGACCUGAGAGGGUGAUCGGCCACACUGGAACUGAGACACGGUCCAGACUCCUACGGGGGGCAGAAGGAGGGAAUCUUCCGCAAGGGGCGAAAGCCUGCCGGAGAAACGCCGGGGGAGUGAUGAAGGUUUGCGGAUCGUAAAACUCUGUUAUUAGGGAAGAACAUUUGUGUAAGUAACGGUGCACCUUUUGACGGUACCAAAACAGAAAGCCACGGCUAACUACGU
Molecule: ribosomal RNA, 496 nt
Filed under: uncultured bacterium
Lineage: Bacteria
Description: partial 16S ribosomal RNA
Rfam family: Bacterial small subunit ribosomal RNA
Source: RNAcentral